UAUUGGACAAUGGGCGAAAGCCUGAUCCAGCCAUGCCGCGUGUGUGAAGAAGGUCNUCNNAUUGUNANGCACUUUAAGUUGGGNNNNNGGGCAGUAAGUAAAUACCUUGCUGUUUUGACGUUACCGACAGAAUAAGCACCGGCUAACUUCGUGCCAGCAGCCGCGGUAAUACGAAGGGUGCAAGCGUUAAUCGGAAUUACUGGGCGUAAAGCGCGCGUAGGUGGUUCGUUAAGUUGGAUGUGAAAGCCCCGGGCUCAACCUGGGAACUGCAUCCAAAACUGGCGAGCUAGAGUACGGUAGAGGGUGGUGGAAUUUCCUGUGUAGCGGUGAAAUGCGUAGAUAUAGGAAGGAACACCAGUAGCGAAGGCGACCACCUGGACUGAUACUGACACUGGGGUGCGAAAGCGUGGGGAGCAAACAGG
RNAcentral lists this ribosomal RNA (422 nucleotides) under uncultured bacterium. Its description in RNAcentral is "partial 16S ribosomal RNA". It matches the Rfam family "Bacterial small subunit ribosomal RNA", at positions 362 to 776 of the family's 1533-position model. The record is from RNAcentral.